UGCUGCACCUGCACCUUCCGCACCUGCUGCACCUGAAAAUACGGCUACUUCGCCCCGGUAGAACCUGCGCAAAAAUAAUGAAGCCAAAAAUAGUUGUGCGCGUAGAAUUUAAUAGUAGCAGCAUAACUCGACGCACUGUCAGAUGCACCAGUAAAUGCACUAGCUCACUAGUUCACGUACCAGUAGAUGCACUAGCUCAGUAGUUCUUGCACCAGUAGAUGCACUAGCUAAAUGAUUCAUGCACCAGUAGAUGCACUAGCUCAAUAAUUCAUGCACCAGUAUAUGAUGCACUAGCUCAGUAGUUCAUGCACCAGUAGAUGCACUAGCACAGUAGUUCAUGCACCAGUAGAUGCACUAGCUCAGUAAUUCACGCACCAGUAGAGGCACUAGCACAGUAGUUCAUGCACCAGUAGGUGCACUAGCUCAGUAGUUCAUGCACCAGUAGGUGCACUAGCUCAAUAGUUCAUGCACCAGUAGAUGCACUAGCUCAGUAAUUCAUGCACCAGUAGAUGCACUAGCUCAAUAAUUCAUGCACCAGCUAGUAGAUGCACUAUUUAGACUCGUACACGUGAUAUUAGAUGCACAACUGAUGCACCAUUGAUGCCUAUACAAAUGCACCACUAUAGAUGUGCGUAUUCUAAGCAGUCUAGAUAAAGUAUUUAACAGUUCAGGUUACAAAAUCUGUUUAGCAUUCACCUUGCAAUGCGUGAAUGUGCGGCCGAAAUUUACAAAACUCGCAUAAUGCAAAAUUACGUUCAUCGCAGAACAAUCGAUCAUCGCAGAACUAUCGAUCAUCGCAGAACUGUCGAUCAUCGCAGAACUAUCGAUCAUCGCGGAACUAUCGAUCAUCGCAGACCUAUCGAUCAUCGCAGAACUAUCGAUCAUCGCAGAACUAUCGAUCAUAGCAGAACUA
Long non-coding RNA from Hyalella azteca, 913 nucleotides. RefSeq lists it as uncharacterized. NCBI's taxonomy places the organism in Eukaryota, Metazoa, Arthropoda, Malacostraca, Amphipoda, Hyalellidae. The record is from RefSeq and is a predicted model, not a curated record. The transcript is spliced from 2 exons.